GGAGGAUAGCACCGAUAUGUCGAGCUGCGCCCUGUGCUGUGAAGCUGUUGUUUCAGUGCCCUCCCUGCCGUGCCGCCGCAACCGCGCCGCGACGACGGCUGUCACGCUACCGCGGAGGACGGUGCCGCCGGACCGGCCAUGGGUGUGACGCGUGGCGCACCCGUGGCGGUGCCGCCUGAUGCCGACGCGGGUGUCGAGGCCUGCCGGCACCGCGUAGCCCGCAGAGCUGACAUCGGCGGCGGCUGUGCUUCUGCAUGUUCGCGUCGCACCUCUGCGCACCGCACGGCGUUGUCGGAGCACGGUGUGCGCCGGCCCAGCAGCCGGGGUGAUAGGUGCCGACCUGCUGUGUGUGACGCGCGCGACCGCACCGCACGAGACCCGGUGCAGGCGCCGGCGUCGCCCUUGUCCGGGAGGGUGCAGCGGCGGCGCCUGUGGAUGUUGCCCUGUGACGCUUUUCGUCCUCCGCGCUGGGCUUCGGUCACGCCGCCGCGACGUCUUGCCGAGAUGCGGCGACGUGUGCCACGACCGGCAGUGCCGAUGCGCUUCUCCUGCCCGCACCGCGUCUGGACCGGCCAGCGGUGGGCUGGGCGCCCCUGCCGUGGCGGCGCGCGAUGGGCGCCGGCGUCGUGCGGCUGCCACACCCUCGCCACGGCCAGCCGUUUCUGCGCUUCAUCGUGCUCGAUCCCAUCGUCUGCGCCUUGGCGAGGGUGUCGCACGCCGACGCUGCCGUGCCAGUCGCAUGCCUCGUCCUCGCUGCUGUAGGAGGUGCGGGCGCACGCGCCGCCAAGCGGCUUCGCGCAGCGCUGCGACCGCCUGGCGCGCACCUUCAUGUCGGCGGCAGACCUGUACAGGGAUGGGGACGCGCCGCUCUCAGCUGGCGCCUCCGCCUCCGCUGCUGGCUGCGAGGCCGCGGCGCCGUGGGCAAACGCGUGUGUGUUUGCGCUCGGCGGUGUGUGCGGUGGUGGCGAGGACUGGGGGUCGCCGAGGUCGGCGUGUGCGCGGUUGAGGGCCGAGCUUUCCGCCAGGGGUGGAGCGGAUGACACGCCCGUGGGGUGUGGGGGCCCGCACGGCUGGACGGCUGACCCGCGGUCGCGGCCGACGACGUCGUCCGUGUGCUCUGCCACGCCUCACGGGUGGGCUGGCUGGGCACGUGCAGCAGCAGCGCGCCCGCUCCUCCUGCGCGGCUGCGUGGGCGUGCCUGAGUCCGACGGCGUGCUGCGGCGGCUGUGCGAGGCCCGUGAAGUCGGCGGCAGCGCCUCUGCGCAGACGGCGUCCUGUGAUGCGCCUGCCGACAGCCGCCACGCUGUGCACCACAGGCCAUCCGAGUCGGUGGCGGUGGGGUGGCUGACGAGACAAGUAGAGCGCGUGCGCGCCUCUGCGGUGCUGCGAGCAAUACUGCGGCUGCCGGGGUCGGUGCUGCUGCGACGGCGACGGCGGCUGCGCCCGCCGAGGCGUGCGUGGGGGCCGCCAUGGCUGUUGCGUUUGGGGUGGUGGCCGAGUACGUGCCGGUUCGGCUGCACGCGGCUCUUGCGGUGGCCUGCGGUCUCGCCGACCCCGCAGCGCCCAUAGACGGCGCCGAGCGGCGCGGCGACGGCGGAGAGCUGAGCAAGAGGCAACAGGCGGACGCGACGGCCGGCGGCGGCGUGACGCGACUGGGGAAGGCUGGGCAGCGGAAGGGCACGCCCCCCUUGCUGGCCGUGCUCGGCGAGAGGAAGCCGAGGACGGAGGGUGGCGCGCCGUGGGCGUGGCGUGGGCGCACGACGGGCCUCGCCAUGGCGGCGCGACGCACGGCGUGUGCCGUGCAGGGUGGGCGAGCAAGGGUGUGCGGGGGAGGGGACGCCGUCGCCUCUGCUGCGUGCUGUGCGGGAGGGCGGCCGCGUGCGUGGGGACAGGUGCAACUGUCCGUCCCGCCCCCGAUGCGGGUGGGGCUCGCUGGAGCCCGUCUGUAUGCGCAUGCGCGCUGCUGCUGUGGCCAGCCUCCCUUCUGCGCCGCCGCGUCGCAGGCCGCACCGCUGCGUUGAGACACGGCGCGCGCCGGUGGGUGGGGUGAGGCCGGGAAUGACUUCUGCUUGGCUUGCUUGCGUGCGAGCAUGCUGGUGGGCUGUUGGCUGGGCGGACUCGGCACGGUGCACCCCAUCCCUCCUCCCUGCGGUCGCCUCGUGUGCGGCGAGGGUGUGCUCUCACCUUGGCGGUGGCGGCGUGCGUGCGAGCGUUCUCUCCUGCCGGCGCACGUCUGCCGUGCAUCCGCGUGCCGGCGCUGUCUCUGUGGUGUAGGGGAGCGGCCCCUCGUGCCCCCUCUCCCCUCAUCCCUGCGCAUGCGGGGCGGCUUGUGGUGGUGGCAGGGGUAGGCCCCUGCGGCGUAGGGGGAGGCGAGGGCGAUGCGUCGCGGCCGGUGUGGUCGGCCAUGCCGUGGAUGGCGUGGCGCCGGAGCGACGUGCGGCAGCGGACGCGCUUGUGCCGUCCGCAUGGCGGGCGAGGGGCCAACGGGGCUCGGGCGUCUCCCACCCGGCCGUUGCUGCCUGCUGGUGGGGAGGCUGAGCCACGCCGAGGGGGACGCGCGAGGUGGCUGCCGGCACGGUGUGCGCUGCUGUGGGGCGACCUGCGUGGGGGAUGGGUGGGCAGAGGCUGUGCAGGGGACCGUGCUCAUGUUGCUGGGCCGCGCGCGGGGGCGGCGCGGGGUGUAGCGUGGCGUCGGCCUGCUGCUGUAGGGCGGAGGCAUGGACGCGUCGAAGGGAGCUGCUUGCGCUGUGGCAGACAUCGCCACCCCGGGUGCCGCCUGGCACUCGCCGCUGUCCCCACCUGCCACGUGCGGCCACCCACGCAUGCGGGCGACGAGCGACAUCGGCACUCAUGAGGGUUUUGUGUCCUGUGCUUCCACACCCCCAGCGCGCUUGGACAGCGCGCCCAUGCAGCGGUGGGGGCCUCAUGGGCAGAGGGGGUGCCCGCGCCACUGCCUGCUCUCUUGGCCCCGCGUGUCCUCCCAUCGGUGAUGGGGGCGAGCAAGCGAGUGCCCCUCGCCGGCCUCUCCCGCCCCACCGAGCAGCGAGAGACACACGUGAGCCACAACGGCGGCCUCGCCUGUGCUGCCUGUGCGUGGCGAGCGGGCGCGUGCAGCCGCAUCCUCCCCCGCGUGUGCGCACACACCCGUCGGUGGGCGGUGCCGGCGUCUUGCGCGGCGUUGCUCUGCCGGCCGGCGGACAGCGAUACGCGGCUGCCGCACCGCCGCAGCGGGAAGCGGGGUGGGCCGGAGUCGCCGCCGACACGGCAAACGCGCGACGGCGCAUAUGCGCCCUCGAGGCCCACCUGCUCGUCUCCGAGCGCUGUCGCUGCUCGCUCGGCGGUCGCUGCUCGCUCGGCGGUCGCUGCUCGCUCGGCGGUCGCUGCUCGCUCGGCGGUCGCUGCUCGCUCGGCGGUCGCUGCUCGCUCGGCGGUCGCUGCUCGCUCGGCGGUCGCUGCUCGCUCGGCGGUCGCUGCUCGCUCGGCGUCGCUUUUCCUUUGCUCUCCUCGACUCUGGCGCAGGGUGGUGAGGGCUGCCACCCGGACACGCCCAGGCUGGCGUGGCUGAAGGCAUCGCCGCUGUAGCCGCAACGGGUACGAGUGCGCGCGAGCAGGCGCAGCAGCAGUGGCGGCUGUGGUGCGGGGGUGGUGUUUCCGCCUCCCCCUCUCGGCGUCACUGGCGCCCCUACCAUGUGUAGCGCGUGGUCGUGCUGCCCGUGCUGCUGUCUUGAACCGUGCUUGAUGCUUGCUCCCACUGCGACGCACUUGGCCACUGCCCUGCCGCUCAUCGUUAUUUUCUGCAUCGAGAGGUUCGUGCCGCGUCGCACAG
This 3826-nucleotide unclassified non-coding RNA is filed under the name Leishmania donovani. Its description in RNAcentral is "gene:unknown". Lineage: Eukaryota; Euglenozoa; Kinetoplastea; Trypanosomatida; Trypanosomatidae. The record is from RNAcentral.